CGUUCAGGGUGACAUUAGCAAGACAGGAGCUGAUAACUACCAGAGCAGGUCACCAGGAGAUCUUUGAGAACGCAGUUCGUUUUCAGCCUGAAAGAAGCAAUUAUAUUAGUCAGCCAAGACGCGCUGGGACUCAGCAUUCACCUCUAAAGUACCUUCAGAGCUCUCAGGCGUUUACAAGGACAGAGCAGCUCGACAGAGACGGAAAGGCUCAUUCACAGAGUAGCAGCCGGGAAAG
Molecule: long non-coding RNA, 235 nt
Organism: Hemiscyllium ocellatum (epaulette shark)
Lineage: Eukaryota; Metazoa; Chordata; Chondrichthyes; Orectolobiformes; Hemiscylliidae
Exons: 3
Source: RefSeq, a predicted model, not a curated record